This 274-nucleotide ribosomal RNA is filed under the name uncultured bacterium. RNAcentral describes it as "partial 16S ribosomal RNA". It matches the Rfam family "Bacterial small subunit ribosomal RNA", at positions 523 to 796 of the family's 1533-position model. The record is from RNAcentral.
AUACGGAGGGUGCAAGCGUUAAUCGGAAUUACUGGGCGUAAAGCGUACGUAGGCGGCAAGUUAAGUUAGAUGUGAAAGCCCCGGGCUCAACCUGGGAACUGCAUUUAAAACUGGCUUGCUAGAGUUGAGUAGAGGGGAGUGGAAUUUCAGGUGUAGCGGUGAAAUGCGUAGAGAUCUGAAGGAACACCAGUGGCGAAGGCGACUCCCUGGACUCGAACUGACGCUGAGGUACGAAAGCGUGGGUAGCAAACGGUAUUAGAAACCCCAGUAGUCC